Molecule: ribosomal RNA, 582 nt
Filed under: uncultured bacterium
Lineage: Bacteria
Description: partial 16S ribosomal RNA
Rfam family: Bacterial small subunit ribosomal RNA
Source: RNAcentral
UGGGGAAUAUUGCACAAUGGGCGCAAGCCUGAUGCAGCCAUGCCGCGUGUGUGAAGAAGGCCUUCGGGUUGUAAAGCACUUUCAGCGAGGAGGAAGGUGGUGAGCUUAAUACGCUCAUCAAUUGACGUUACUCGCAGAAGAAGCACCGGCUAACUCCGUGCCAGCAGCCGCGGUAAUACGGAGGGUGCAAGCGUUAAUCGGAAUUACUGGGCGUAAAGCGCACGCAGGCGGUUUGUUAAGUCAGAUGUGAAAUCCCCGGGCUCAACCUGGGAACUGCAUUUGAAACUGGCAAGCUAGAGUCUCGUAGAGGGGGGUAGAAUUCCAGGUGUAGCGGUGAAAUGCGUAGAGAUCUGGAGGAAUACCGGUGGCGAAGGCGGCCCCCCUGGACGAAGACUGACGCUCAGGUGCGAAAGCGUGGGGCAGCAAACAGGAUUAGAUACCCUGGUAGUCCACGCUGUAAAACGAUGUCGAUUUGGAGGUUGUGCCCUUGAGGCGUGGCUUCCGGAGCUAACGCGUUAAAUCGACCGCCUGGGGAGUACGGCCGCAAGNUUAAAACUUAAAGAAUUGACGGGGUCAUAGCUG